GUGAGGAAUAUUGGACAAUGGGCGCAAGCCUGAUCCAGCCAUGCCGCGUGCAGGAAGACGCAUCUAUGGUGUGUAAACUGCUUUUGUACGGGAAGAAACACUCCCUCGUGAGGGAGCUUGACGGUACCGUAAGAAUAAGGAUCGGCUAACUCCGUGCCAGCAGCCGCGGUAAUACGGAGGAUCCAAGCGUUAUCCGGAAUCAUUGGGUUUAAAGGGUCCGUAGGCGGUUUAAUAAGUCAGUGGUUAAAGCCCAUCGCUCAACGAUGGAACGUCCAUUGAUACUGUUAGACUUGAAUUACAAGGAAGUAACUAGAAUAUGUAGUGUAGCGGUGAAAUGCUUAGAUAUUACAUGGAAUACCAAUUGCGAAGGCAGGUUACUACUUGUGGAUUGACGCUGAUGGACGAAAGCGUGGGGAGCGAACAGGAUUAGAAACCCGAGUAGUCC
This 445-nucleotide ribosomal RNA is filed under the name uncultured bacterium. RNAcentral describes it as "partial 16S ribosomal RNA". It matches the Rfam family "Bacterial small subunit ribosomal RNA", at positions 354 to 796 of the family's 1533-position model. The record is from RNAcentral.